AUUGAACGCUGGCGGCAUGCUUUACACAUGCAAGUCGAACGGCAGCGCGGGCUUCGGCCUGGCGGCGAGUGGCGAACGGGUGAGUAAUACAUCGGAACGUGCCCAGUAGUGGGGGAUAGCUCGGCGAAAGCCGGAUUAAUACCGCAUACGACCUGAGGGUGAAAGCGGGGGAUCUUCGGACCUCGCGCUAUUGGAGCGGCCGAUGGCAGGUUAGCUAGUUGGUGGGGUAAAGGCCUACCAAGGCGACGAUCUGUAGCUGGUCUGAGAGGACGACCAGCCACACUGGAACUGAGACACGGCCCAGACUCCUACGGGAGGCAGCAGUGGGGAAUUUUGGACAAUGGGCGAAAGCCUGAUCCAGCAAUGCCGCGUGUGUGAUGAAGGCCUUCGGGUUGUAAAGCACUUUUGGCGGGAACGAAAAGGACUGUGCCAAUACCACGGUUCGAUGACGGUACCCGCAGAAUAAGCACCGGCUAACUACGUG
Molecule: ribosomal RNA, 484 nt
Filed under: uncultured bacterium
Lineage: Bacteria
Description: partial 16S ribosomal RNA
Rfam family: Bacterial small subunit ribosomal RNA
Source: RNAcentral